CUCCCCGAUAAUCUGCAAAAUACUCAAAAAAUCAGAAUUAUGGACAAUAUGAUUUAAUGAUAAAAAAACAAUAAUAUACAAUUAUUAUUAUGUAUUUUAAUUUACAUAGCCCUUGACUUAUGAUGGGAUUUAGUUCAAACUCUGCCACUGUAAGGUAGAACAGUUAAGUCUAAAACUUCUUGCAUAUAUAGUAUAGUUAUAAAUUAACUGACCUUUCUCCAGCUCCCUGGAAUGGGUUCUAAUUGACAUAUGAUAAUGAAACCUGGUAUAUAUGCUUAUUAGACCACAGUGAUACAAUUUCCAGUGAAAAAUAAAAUAGCCAAAUUUUUAUCAUCAGAUGGAUUUUAUCUAAGUGAAAGCAUGAAAAUUGUAAUACUACUCACUAGGUAAAAGUUACUUGUGAAUCAUUGCAAGCAAAGAUUCACAAGCAAGACAUUCUGCAAUUAUCAUCAUGCUUUUGGAGAAGAAGACCAUGUAUUAUUUUACCAGAAUGGCAGCAGUAGUUUGGCUGCUUUGAGAGACUAUUGGUGUUUGAAAAGAAGGCAAAAAGAACCCAUGUUUAAAAAUGAAAACUUUUCAGUCAUGUUUAAAGAACACAAUUAAAAAGUUUAAAGACACUGGAGAUUUGGAUGUGGCACCAAAAAGAGACUGAUGGCCGAUUUCUAUGGAAGUUAUUGUUGAAGUUGCUGAAUGUAGCAUGCGCCCAAAAUUCUUUAGCCAGUAUCUGUGCAAUGGCACCUGAUUUAUCCAUUCCUUGGUCUACUGUUCAAAAAAUGCUGUGGUGCAUUUUACCCCUACAAGAUCAAUAUGAUGAAACAAUUAAAAUUGCAAGAUUCACAAGCAUGCAUAGAACUUUCUCAUUGGUUUUUGGCAAUGAUGAAUAUUGAUGACAUGUGACCUGGGAAUAUUCAAUAGACUGAUGAGACACAUUUUCAUUAGUAGAUACAAUGACUGUACAGAAUUGCUGCAUAUGAAGUACAGUCUGUUCUAAAAUGUAUUGCAGGUAGCAGGAAACAAUUUGGCAUUAGUGCAAAACACAGAAGUUCGUUGCACUUAUCGUGUCAAGUGUUGGUUGAUGUGCAAAUUGCACGAUCAGCCCUUCCAUUAUGGUUAAUGUAGAAAUUGGGGUUGGGAGGUUGAUGAGAGCCCGACUUAUUUUUAAACUAGAUAGGUUCAGA
RNAcentral lists this long non-coding RNA (1178 nucleotides) under Androctonus crassicauda. The record is from RNAcentral. Lineage: Eukaryota; Metazoa; Arthropoda; Arachnida; Scorpiones; Buthidae.